RNAcentral lists this ribosomal RNA (497 nucleotides) under uncultured bacterium. Its description in RNAcentral is "partial 16S ribosomal RNA". It matches the Rfam family "Bacterial small subunit ribosomal RNA", at positions 28 to 507 of the family's 1533-position model. The record is from RNAcentral.
GACGAACGCUGGCGGCGUGCCUAAUACAUGCAAGUUGAGCGCUGAAGGUUGGUACUUGUACCAACUGGAUGAGCAGCGCACGGGUGAGUAACGCGUGGGGAAUCUGCCUUUGAGCGGGGGACAACAUUUGGAAACGAAUGCUAAUACCGCAUAAAAACUUUAAACACAAGUUUUAAGUUUGAAAGAUGCAAUUGCAUCACUCAAAGAUGAUCCCGCGUUGUAUUAGCUAGUUGGUGAGGUAAAGGCUCACCAAGGCGAUGAUACAUAGUCGACCUGAGAGGGUGAUCGGCCACAGUGGGACUGAGACACGGCCCAAACUCCUACGGGAGGCAGCAGUAGGGAAUCUUCGGCAAGGGACGAAAGUCUGACCGAGAAACGCCGCGUGAGUGAAGAAGGUUUUCGGAUCGUAAAACUCUGUUGGUAGAGAAGAACGUUGGUGAGAGUGGAAAGCUCAUCAAGUGACGGUAACUACCCAGAAAGGGACGGCUAACUACGUG